Long non-coding RNA from Magnolia sinica, 1329 nucleotides. RefSeq lists it as uncharacterized. The record is from RefSeq and is a predicted model, not a curated record. Lineage: Eukaryota; Viridiplantae; Streptophyta; Magnoliopsida; Magnoliales; Magnoliaceae. The transcript is spliced from 4 exons.
GUUGUUUUCUUAUUUCCCCAUACGUUUAGUAGGAAUCCUAAACUCGACCAUGGAAGAUGGAGAGAUCAGUUUUCGGUUCAGGCCUGCACUUUUGAUUUCCUCAUUUCCAUCUCAGAGAACGAAAUCGAUUACAGAAACUGGAGAAGAUUAAAGACUCAAAUAGGCAGAGCCGGCAGUUGGAAGAACUUACAGGAAAGAUGCGGGAAUGUAAGAGGUUGGUGGAAAAUUCCAUUUUCAUGCAUGAUACUAGUUUAUUAGAUGAACUAGAUGUGGAAAAUUUCAUCCCCUAGAUGAAAGAACCUUUCCAUACUUGUCAUUGGGUUAUUGUUUCUCAAGCUUAUCAAAGAGUUUGACGGAGAAGUUAAGGAAGAGGAGAGUAGAAAUACUCCAGACACCAACGAAAUGCGUAGUGAGAAAAAACAAUCAAUGGUGUUGUUCACUCCUUAAAGAUCUUUACUCUUUAUAAGCAAUUGCAACUUCUCGGUGUUUGUUUGAAACUCUAAUAAGCUUUUUGUCCAUAUUCAUUGUUAUGUAUUGAACUUGAGAAUACUUUCUCAUUUUUUACAGAUUAAAGAAUUGAAUUCUUAUGUCGCUCUUAAAAAGCAAAAAUAGACUGUUGUCUUGAAUUCUUACUGCCGGAAGGGAAAAUGCUAAUAGAAGAACAACUGACCAUGUUGGUCUGGGAAGCAAUCAUUGAAACAUCAGAUACUACUCUGGUAACAACAAAAUGGGCUAUGUAUGAACUUGCGAAAAACCCCAAGAAUCAGGACUGUCUAUACCAUGAGAUUAAAGAAGUUUGUGGGCUGCAAAAGUUCACAGAGGAAAUCUGUCACAAUUACCAUACUUCCAAAUCCUACUGAGAAUCAGGUUGGAAAAAAUGUAUUAUGAAGAGAAGCUUUCUAAAAGAACACCUGAUGAACUUGAAAUGAUAUGGAAAUUUGUUGUAAGUUAAAUGAUCUUAAAUAAGUUGACGUUUGUCCUCUUCAUUUUUUCUUGUGCUUUUCACCAACAUUGGUCAGGUUACUAGUUUGCAGGGUCCUUGGCAUUUGUUUUUAAAACAUUCCUGCCUUGUCAUACUUAUCUUAUUCUUUGUCAGGCUUUAAAAAAUUCAUUCUAGAAGGGGUUCCUCUAAAUGGCUUUCAUAGCUAGUUUGAGAAAUAAAUACUGACUAGUCAAAUGCCAGCUUGUUGCUUUCUGGUAUUUCAAUUCACUAGUGGGCAUGUUUAUGGCUUCACAUGGUAUGUCUGGAUACUUCUUCCAAACUAAAUGGUAUUUACUGUUCUUUGUAAUUUCAGUUUCCAAGAUAGAAGGUAUGAAUACAAAGGUCUU